GACGAACGCUGGCGGCGUGCUUAACACAUGCAAGUCGAACGGAAAGGCCCUGCUUUUGUGGGGUGCUCGAGUGGCGAACGGGUGAGUAACACGUGAGUAACCUGCCCUUGACUUUGGGAUAACUUCAGGAAACUGGGGCUAAUACCGGAUAGGAGCUCCUGCUGCAUGGUGGGGGUUGGAAAGUUUCGGCGGUUGGGGAUGGACUCGCGGCUUAUCAGCUGGUUGGUGGGGUAGUGGCUUACCAAGGCUUUGACGGGUAGCCGGCCUGAGAGGGUGACCGGGCACAUUGGGACUGAGAGACGGCGCAGACGCCUACGGGAGGCAGCAGUGGGGAAUAUUGCACAACGGGCGGAAGCCUGAUGCAGCAACGCCGGGUGCGGGAUGACGGCCUUCGGGUUGUAAACCACUGUCGCCUGUGACGAAGCGUGAGUGACGGUAAUGGGUAAAGAAGCACCGGCUAACUACGUG
RNAcentral lists this ribosomal RNA (468 nucleotides) under uncultured bacterium. Its description in RNAcentral is "partial 16S ribosomal RNA". It matches the Rfam family "Bacterial small subunit ribosomal RNA", at positions 28 to 507 of the family's 1533-position model. The record is from RNAcentral.